UUUUUCGUAGCUCAGCUGGUUAGAGCACAUCACUCAUAAUGAUGGGGUCACAGGUUCGAAUCCCGUCGUAGCCACCA
This 77-nucleotide transfer RNA is filed under the name Klebsiella pneumoniae. RNAcentral describes it as "tRNA-Met". The stretch from base 6 to 68 matches the Rfam family "tRNA", at positions 6 to 65 of the family's 71-position model. From Rfam's summary of the family: Transfer RNA (tRNA) molecules are approximately 80 nucleotides in length. Their secondary structure includes four short double-helical elements and three loops (D, anti-codon, and T loops). Lineage: Bacteria; Pseudomonadati; Pseudomonadota; Gammaproteobacteria; Enterobacterales; Enterobacteriaceae. The record is from RNAcentral.